Molecule: ribosomal RNA, 565 nt
Filed under: Canis lupus familiaris (dog)
Lineage: Eukaryota; Metazoa; Chordata; Mammalia; Carnivora; Canidae
Description: partial 16S ribosomal RNA
Source: RNAcentral
GUUACCCACAAACAGAAUUUUAGUUCAACUUUAAAUUUACCUAAAAAAAAUAAAAUUUUAAUGUAAAUUUAAAAUAUAGUCUAAGAAGGUACAGCUUCUUAGAAUCAGGAUACAACCUUUAUUAGAGAGUAUAUACUAAUAUCACCAUAGUUGGCUUAAAAGCAGCCACCAAUUGAGAAAGCGUUCCAGCUCAACAAACAAUAUAACUUAAUCCCAACCAUACUACAUCAACUCCUAAUUAUACCCCCUGGGUCAUUCUAUUUAAGUAUAGAAGCAAUAAUGCUAGUAUGAGUAACAAGAACCAUUUUCUCCCCGCAUAAGCUUAUAUCAGGAACGGAUAGACCACUGAUAGUUAACAAUCUGAUAAUAUCAACCCAAAAAUGAAAUACUUAUCCACCCCAUUGUUAACCCAACACAGGUAUGCAUUCAAGGAAAGAUUAAAAGGAGUAAAAGGAACUCGGCAAACACAAACCCCGCCUGUUUACCAAAAACAUCACCUCCAGCAUUUCUAGUAUUGGAGGCACUGCCUGCCCGGUGACACUUGUUUAACGGCCGCGGUAUCCUG